Molecule: long non-coding RNA, 749 nt
Organism: Triticum aestivum (bread wheat)
Lineage: Eukaryota; Viridiplantae; Streptophyta; Magnoliopsida; Poales; Poaceae
Exons: 2
Source: RefSeq, a predicted model, not a curated record
UCUUACUCAUUGUCUCGUUAGGCUACUGACUCGAGCCCCCGCUUUUAUUUAGUUUGUGUUUUUUUUUCUUUUUAGUUUGCGUCAAAGCCUUUUCCCUGAUUUCUUUCGAUAUUGCCCCCUGAUUUUCAGCUUUGCACACUACAGAUGCAUUAAAUACUCCUUCGAUGGCGUACACAAUUUUCCCUCUCUUUUCUCUUCACCUUCUCGAUCUUCCAUCGAACCAACUCUCCCCCCCCAAGGACGGCAAGAUGUACCAACGGAGAGUCACCUGUUUUCUUGUCAUCGUCAUCGUCCUCCUUCUCCCGCCCCUGCUAGCUUCCUAUCCAUGUAUGGCCACCGCACAUGGCCCACCACAUCAUGCUCCAGGUGGCGACGCUGGUGCGUGGGGUCAAAUGAAUGGACUUCAUCGUCAAGGGGAAAAGAUGUCAGGGAUGGGAGCUGUGAGGCGCUUGGGACAGAGGAUACCACUGAAGGACCCUCCCUCGCCAAUCCCGAACGAGAACUCGGGGGUGGUGAUUCCCUUGACGCCGCCGCCACCGCCACCGCCGUCGAUCAAUUAAUAGGUGUUGGGAGUCUGGUACGAGCAUAUGCCAUGGUGACUUCCAUGCACCUCUGGUCUCUUACUGAUGUGUUAACAAGAAUAAUCUUGCUGGUGUGAAAUAAGUUGUCAUGCUUCAAAGUCUUAAAAUGUAUUGUUCACUUCUCUAUAUCAAUCUGGACUUCUGAGGUAAAUGGCGGAAAUAACUUUU